Molecule: signal recognition particle RNA, 98 nt
Filed under: Treponema sp.
Lineage: Bacteria; Pseudomonadati; Spirochaetota; Spirochaetia; Treponematales; Treponemataceae
Description: signal recognition particle sRNA small type
Rfam family: Bacterial small signal recognition particle RNA
About the family: The signal recognition particle (SRP) is a universally conserved ribonucleoprotein involved in the co-translational targeting of proteins to membranes. Archaeal SRP consists of a 7S RNA and homologues of the eukaryotic SRP19 and SRP54 proteins.
Source: RNAcentral
GUUCAGAUGCUUCGCAAGGUAAUCUUCAAAACCCCGCCAGAGCCGGAAGGCAGCAACGGUAUGAUUCAAUUACUUGUGCCGAAGAUUAUCUGAGCUCU